GAUGAAGAACGUAGCGAAAUGCGAUAAGUAAUGCGAAUUGCAGAAUUCGGUGAGUCAUCGAAUCUUUGAACGCACAUUGCGCCCUCUGGUAUUCCGGAGGGCAUGCCUGUCUGAGCGUCAUUGUCAACCCUCAAGCUCAGCUUGCUGUUGGGUCCCCGUCGUUGCUUUAACGGCGGACCCGAAAGGUAAUGGCAGAGUCCGUGAGACCCUAGACGCAGCGAGCUUCUAGCACGCGUCUGGACGUUUUUCGGGCUCGGUCUUAACUAGAUGAUAACUUCCGAUUGACCUCAGAUCAGGUAGGGAUACCCGCUGAACUUAAGCAUAUCAAUAAGCGGAGGA
This 339-nucleotide unclassified non-coding RNA is filed under the name soil metagenome. RNAcentral's name for it is "partial contains 5.8S ribosomal RNA, internal transcribed spacer 2, and large subunit ribosomal RNA". The stretch from base 1 to 120 matches the Rfam family "5.8S ribosomal RNA", at positions 35 to 154 of the family's 154-position model. The record is from RNAcentral.